UGGUUAGUUGAGAAAAAUUGGAAUUUGAGUUGUUGGGCUUUUUAAUUGUUUGGGUCUAGAAUAUUAAAGAACCAAAAAGGAAAAAAAUAUAGUAAGGAGUGAACUUAGAAAAGAUAGGUAUAUCCUUAGCAAAUUUUCUCAAAUUUCUCUCUUGGUGACUAUAAUACCGAGAAGGAAAAGUAGACCAUCAAGUUUGGAUUGUUACUUUGUGCUGAGUUUUCUCAUCUCAUACUUAAAUUGAGAUGUACA
This 249-nucleotide long non-coding RNA is filed under the name Vigna radiata. Its description in RNAcentral is "long non-coding RNA (VRAD_LNC007512)". Lineage: Eukaryota; Viridiplantae; Streptophyta; Magnoliopsida; Fabales; Fabaceae. The record is from RNAcentral.